AAAAAACAUUAACACUUUAAGAAUUCCCCCCCUUUCCUAUCCGGCCACUUGGUCUCUCCCGGAACCUUUAUCACCGUGCCCAUGCACCCGGGGGAAUCUUUUGGACGCGCACCCUGGAGCAGACACAGGACCAGACAGGCGGAGCCGAGUGCCGAGUGCCGCCCCUGGCCGAAGGCAUGCAAUCACCUAAUAAAUAACUUCAAUAAAAUAUACAAUAAAUAGAGCAAGUUCAAUAUCUGUAUCUUCAAUUAAUUAUCUUCAAUAAACUGUGCAAAUACGCAAUGUGCAAAUUGUACUGUGCAAGCCUUGGUAAAUAAAGUGCUAUCGUGACUAAA
Long non-coding RNA from Cololabis saira (Pacific saury), 335 nucleotides. RefSeq lists it as uncharacterized. The record is from RefSeq and is a predicted model, not a curated record. The transcript has 2 exons. Lineage: Eukaryota; Metazoa; Chordata; Actinopteri; Beloniformes; Belonidae.